AUGCACGCUGGCGGCGUGCCUAAUACAUGCACGUCGAGCGAACGGACGAGAAGCUUGCUUCUCUGAUGUUAGCGGCGGACGGGUGAGUAACACGUGGAUAACCUACCUAUAAGACUGGGAUAACUUCGGGAAACCGUAGCUAAUACCGGAUAAUAUUUUGAACCGCAUGGUUCAAAAGUGAAAGACGGUCUUGCUGUCACUUAUAGAUGGAUCCGCGCUGCAUUAGCUAGUUGGUAAGGUAACGGCUUACCAAGGCAACGAUGCAUAGCCGACCUGAGAGGGUGAUCGGCCACACUGGAACUGAGACACGGUCCAGACUCCUACGGGAGGCAGCAGUAGGGAAUCUUCCGCAAUGGGCGAAAGCCUGACGGAGCAACGCCGCGUGAGUGAUGAAGGUCUUCGGAUCGUAAAACUCUGUUAUUAGGGAAGAACAUAUGUGUAAGUAACUGUGCACAUCUUGACGGUACCUAAUCAGAAAGCCACGGCUAACUACGUG
This 496-nucleotide ribosomal RNA is filed under the name uncultured bacterium. RNAcentral's name for it is "partial 16S ribosomal RNA". It matches the Rfam family "Bacterial small subunit ribosomal RNA", at positions 29 to 507 of the family's 1533-position model. The record is from RNAcentral.